Molecule: unclassified non-coding RNA, 264 nt
Filed under: uncultured fungus
Lineage: Eukaryota; Fungi
Description: partial contains small subunit ribosomal RNA, internal transcribed spacer 1, and 5.8S ribosomal RNA
Rfam family: Eukaryotic small subunit ribosomal RNA (bases 1-73)
Source: RNAcentral
UCAAACUUGGUCAUUUAGAGGAAGUAAAAGUCGUAACAAGGUCUCCGUAGGUGAACCUGCGGAGGGAUCAUUACUGAGUUAUCUAACUCCCAAACCAUUGUGAACUUACCACUGUUGCCUCGGCGGCAGUCCUCUCUUCACGGAGAGGCGUCGCCGGUGGACUACUAAACUCUUGUUAAUUUUUGUCAUUCUGAAUAACAAACUUAAUAAGUUAAAACUUUCAACAACGGAUCUCUUGGUUCUGGCAUCGAUGAAGAACGCAGC